RNAcentral lists this transfer RNA (94 nucleotides) under compost metagenome. RNAcentral describes it as "tRNA-Gly". The record is from RNAcentral.
AUUCGAACUCCGUGACGGCCUCACCCAGCGGAGCCGGCGCGGCCGGGGACUCAACCUGGGGUUCCGGUUCCGGUUCGGAUUCGGAUUCGGAUUC